AUUCGGUACCAUGACUGCAGUCAUUUUAGUCUGUAACAGACUGAAACAAACUUGUAUCUAGGAACGACUGUAGAAAGAAUAGCCUAAUUACUAGUAUUUGGUGGCAGAUCAAAAUCAGAGCUUCCUUGUGGUUAUGUGAACAUUCAGUGCAUUUAUCGUUAACAUGGCAAUUACAACGCAAACCUUCCAACUAAUACGUGCCUUGCACUCUUACAUGGACUGCUAUUCAGGAACAAAUACUACUGGUUGCACGGCUUCUUCUUGGACUUGUGUGCAGGAAGCCAGCCCGUGCCUGAUCCUGCAGGGAAUCAUGUGGACCACCAUUCGGUUGCAACUACUGAUACAGAUCUUACCAAUCAGCUGGUGUACAAUGCAGUAAUAAUGGUACCCAUUGUCCAGCCAGCAAGCAUGUUCCCCCGGCCUCUUUUCUUCUCUGCUGCUCACUAUUCAUGCUUUUCAGACUGAAUGUACCAGGCAGAAUAGUUUUCUGAAAAUGCAAAAGCAAAUCAGAUUCAAGCCACAUAUAUUAUACCACUUGACAGCCAAGCUUUCUCAUUUAGACCCCACAGGGGAUAGGACAAGAUACUGCAUAAAGCAAGUGUGAUUUCACCUAACCUACCCUUUCUUUUGGUCUUUGGAGCCACUCAUUUGUUGCUAUGCUUAAAGAAGGAAUGCAGAAAGGGCCUAUGAUUUAGCACCGAGUAGGUUCAUUUUAAGAUACUAACCAAAUUAGGCCUUGUUUAGAUGCAAAAAGUUUUUGAAUUUUGAUACUGUAGCAUUUUCGUUUUUAUUUGACAAAUAUUGUUUAAUUAUGGAGUAACUAGGCUUAAAAGAUUCGUCUCGUGAUUUACAGAUAAACUGUGCAAUUAGUUAUUCUUUUUAUCUAUAUUUAAUACUUCAUGCAUGUGCCGUAAGAUUCGAUGUGACGGAGAAUCUUGUAAAGUUUUGGGUUUUUGGGUGUAUUUAAACAAGGCGUAAAGAUAGAAUGUGUUGAUUUAUGAUAUUGCCUCUAGGCACCUGCAUAAAAUUAAAUAAUCAUAGUGCCCCCCAAACAAUUGCUAUAGUGAGGAUCUGCCCUACUCUUUUUUGGGUGGAAAGUAUGGAAAGAAAGGCAAACAAAAGGCAAGGCUAAUCAUAGAUGGUGUUUGCACAACUCAACGUUUUUCAGCAGAUUUUUUUAAAGGAAUUCACACCGCACUGUCUUCAAAAGAGACACAUUCGUAUCUCACUUAUUUAGUUAUUUUUGUUGAUGCACUGAUAGGCCAAUAUGAUGGCCCCUUUGAUGUCAUGUUCACACAUUUGGGCAAAAGUCUGCAGUGGUUGGCUCUGAAUUACUGAAUUAAUCUGAAGUAUGCACACAUGUGACUUGUGCAAAAUAUGUAGCUUUCCAGUGUAUUCUUAAAAAAAAGAAGAGCGAGUAACUGUGUAGCUCAAAAUAGAAUGCUCAAUUUACUCUAGGUUUAUAUAGAUAGGCCAAAUUGAUCAUGAUAAAUUCCCCCUUUUAAUAUGAAUCCUGCCACACAAUAAAAAAGGACCACAAACCGUAUCGUGUCCCUCACAGCAAUGCUUCAUAUUUAGGUAGGGAGAAGGGGACCGCGUCAAACAUAAAUUAUUCACUAAUGUACUGUGUUGGACAGAACGGGCAAUUUGCAGAGAUAAUUCCUUCUUAAGAAUUCUGGAAAGCUGAAAGUGUUAGUUCUCAGGGAAACAACGACAGUGCACAUAUUGGUUUACUAGAGUAUAACCACUUAACCAGAAAUAGAGGAUUAUGAUGAUUUGAAUUCGAACAAUAGUGAUCUUUGCAUUCAGGCGCUUAACUAAAAGCUUUAGAUUAAUCAUCAUUCAUGCUAGGCAAGGAUGCUGCUGGCCAUCAGCCUAUCACCCUUUUGUUGCUUGAGAUGCACUCAGUAGUGUUUCAGUCCUUUGUUUAUUCGCAUGCUACAGUCCUAUCUAUAAUGGUUGGUGUGGGUGGAUUGGUACAGCCCACUUCUACAUUCUGAUAUUCUAACGUUUUUUAUUUAUUUAUUUUUUGUUUUUUGUGGAAAAUAAUACUAGUGACAUGUAGAUAAUAUCUGGAACACACAUGAUACUCAUUUACAGACCAUUUUGCAAAUUCAGACACGACAACUGUAGUACACCGAUGUAUACACAAAAACUUUCUAUUUCUGAUUUCCGUACAAGGGCUAUCCUAACUACUUUGACCUGCAAAAAAAUUUCAUCUCUACAACAACUUCCAAAUAGUCCGACACUGCCCCCCUUUUUUGUGGUUAGCCCAAGGGUCAGUGUUCAGGUUUCUUGAGUAUCACUACUUUUUCUAUAGCUGGACCAUAUAGCCAUGUGCAGGUGUGUGCUGCUCCCAUUGCCAACGUAGAGGCUCGAUAGGUGACCAUAAAAGAGGAGAGCUAAGUACCAUGGUUCCUGAAGAAAGAAUGAAGACAGAGGCCACUCACAAGGCAAUAGCAACAGGUGGCAAGAUGACGGUGCUCCAUUCUCCAGUUGGAGUGAGGAGCAUCGUGACCUCCUUGGUGGCUUUCUUCAUCUUGGCUAGCUCCAUCGUCUUCCUCCUU
This 2567-nucleotide long non-coding RNA is filed under the name Sorghum bicolor (sorghum). Its description in RNAcentral is "long non-coding RNA (SBIC_LNC007509)". Lineage: Eukaryota; Viridiplantae; Streptophyta; Magnoliopsida; Poales; Poaceae. The record is from RNAcentral.